GAUCACCGGCCAGUCACUGCAGGACGCCCUCCGCCCCGACGGGUCCGAGGCGCGCCCCGCACGGUCCUGCAGAACCUGCUUUUCGCCCGUCCCAGCUCAGGGAGGGGCUCUGGGACUCCGGAACUUGAGAAGGCCAGUGGUGGAGAGCCAAGUGGGCCGGGCCAGGUGGUGCGCAGCGUCGUAGACUUGUACCAAAAGAACGCAUCAGAUAUGAACAGACACGUUGCAGAAAAAUAAAUUAGCAUGGCUAACAUGGAUAUGAGAAGAUGCAGAACCACCCCCAUAGUUAAGGAAUUAAAACUUAAAACAAGGGGACACUUUUUACACCUAUCUGAGGGACAGAUCUGAAGAGAUUUGUCCCUCAGAGGACAAACAGAGGACAAACAAGAGGCUGACAAAUCUGACAGCGGUUAAUUCCGUGUUGGGGACACGGGUUCGAGCCCUGGUCCAGGAAGAUCCCACAUGCCACGCAGCAACAAAGCCCGUGCGCCGCAACUACUGAGCCUGCGCUCUAGAGCCCGCGAGCCACAACUGCUGAGCCCAUGUGCCACAACUACUGAAGCCCACGCGCCUAGGGCCGGUGCUCUGCAACAAGAGAAGCCACCACAAUAAGAAGCCUGCGCACCUCAAAGAAGAGUGGCCCCCACUUGCUGCAACUAGAGAUAGUCCACAUGCAGCAACGAAGACCCAACGUGGCCAAAAAUUAAAAAUAUAAAUAAAUUAAUUAAUUUAAAAAAUAAUUUAAAAAAUUAAAAUAAAAAGCGCCAUUAAAAAAUUCAAUGUAGGGCUUCCCUGGUGGCGCAAUGGUUGAGAGUCUACCUGCCGAUGCAGGGGACACGGGUUCGUGCCCCAGUCCGGGAAGAUCCCACAUGCCGUGGAGCGGCUGGGCCCGUGACCCAUGGCCGCUGAGCCUGCGCAUCCAGAGCCUGUGCUCCGCAACGGGAGAGGCCACAACAGGGAGAGGCCCGCGUACCGCAAAAAAAAAAAAAAUAAAAAUUCAAUGUAGAAUAUUUCUAGAAAGCUGCAGCUCUGGACCCUCUCAGUCUGGAGCCUAUUAGAAUUUUGUUUGGGGAUAAAACACUAUGAAAACAAAGCUGCGGGAAAGUAAGUCUUGCUGUAGAAAGCGACUUUUGUUAGACAUCGAAUGCUUAAGAGAUUUUUAUACUUACAAAAUGGAGCAUGGGUUUUAAAAUUUUUCUAGCAUUAUAAGAGACUUUAAUCUUUGCUGCCAGAAAAUGCCAGUCCUGGGUAUACAUGAAAUAUUUGGAGAAGCAAACUGUUUAACCCUGAGGCCUGUACACACUGGCAGCAGGAGACGGGUGACGUUGGGACAGCUGUAGGCAGGCCUCUGGUCUGUUUUGCCUCUGGAGGCCAGGACAGGGCAGGGUGAGCAUAUGGCUAGAGCCGGGGAGGGUGUGAGCUGCCCACAGAGCUGCUCAGCCCAGCCUGCGUUGGGUUCUUUAUUUAGCAAUCUCCUUGAGGCUGCAGUUCAGAGCUGACAGAGUAGAAGGAAUAACUGACGUCUGUAGAUUCCAUUGAUCAGAUCCUACCCAUGAGGUCCUCGGGCCUCCAAGUCAGCCAGUUGUCCAAAGCAGACCUCACUGAAGUCCUAGAUGAACUUUAAAUAGGUGUGUAUGUGGCAGGGGGCCCAGAGACUUCUAACCCAAACCACCGCCAGACCAUCAAGGGGAUGGGCCCAAGUGUCCAAGUGCUCCAAUCCUAAAAUCUCCUGAAUGGAGUACUUGCUUUCUACCUAGUCACUGAUGAAGAACUGUAUGUGUGUUUACUUAGUUAGCUCAGGCAGCUGCUAGGUGAAUCGAGUCUGUGAGCACACAUAUAUUUAUGUAUUCACCGGUAAGCCACUGUCUGAAGCACUUUACCUGUAUUGUGUCAUUUAACCCUCACAAGUAGAAACAUCUAUUCCCACUUUACAGGUUAAGAAACUGAGGAUCACGUGGGGUGUCCAAGGCCACACAGCUAGUAAGUGGCAGAACUGUGGUAAACACCACGCCCAGUUUCUAUUUCUGAAGGUCACAUUUAUACUCAUGCUUUACCGAUUCCUACUUCCUAGAAGGAUAUGCAGUGGUUACCGUGAAAUGGGUAAAGAUUAAAACACAUACCCAAUAACCUACGAACUCUAAAAAGGAGGAAAACACAAAAGCACACACAUACAGAGUGGCAGGAAAACAGGACUACUACCUCAGACUAGGGAGUUAGUCUUCUAGAAGUGUGUAGAAAACUUUUUUCUGAGUUUCCUGCAUUCACGAAUUCAGAAACAGGAGUGACAGAAUCAUCCUCAAGUUGCUAAGAUAUUUACCAGACUGCUUUUUUCUGAGAAGUUUUGGGGUAUUUUUGAUUGUAGUAUAGUUAAUUUACAAUGUUGUGUUAGUUUCAGGUAUACAGCACAGUGAUUCGGAAUAUUUUCCAUUAUAGGUUAUUACAAGCUAUUGAGUAGA
This is a long non-coding RNA of Globicephala melas (long-finned pilot whale), 2456 nucleotides long. RefSeq lists it as uncharacterized. Lineage: Eukaryota; Metazoa; Chordata; Mammalia; Artiodactyla; Delphinidae. The record is from RefSeq and is a predicted model, not a curated record.